AUGGCUCCCAACUUCGGCCGUUCCAUCUCCUUCCCUCUGACCCCGGCGAGGUCAUUCUCAAAGUCAUCCCGCCACCUCCGCUCCAUCAGCCUCCCGGGCACCACCUCCUCACACCCACUCCUCGCCAGCCUCAACGCCCACAUCGUCACCAUCCGCGCCUGGAUCCAGGACACCGCCGCAGCAGGCUCAUCCCUCCCAGCCGGCCUCGCCAACAUCCACGCGCUCCACGCCGCGCUCGCCGACCUCCUCCUCCUCCCAGAGUCCAGGGCCGCGCUUCAGUGCACCACCAGCAAGGCCGCCGACAGCCUCCUAGACGCUUUCCUCCUCCUCGCCGACGCGCACCAGGGCUUCCAGGAGUGCCUCAUUUCGCUCAGUCAUGCGGCGGCCGAGUCCCGUGCUGCGCUCCGCAGGGGCGAAGCCACAAGGCUCGCGUCUGCCGCCAGGUCCCAGCGUCGGGCCGAGAAGGUCCUCGCUCGGCUCGCUGCGUCCAUCUCCGCCGUCUCCUCCAAGUGCGCCCGCCUGAACCUCGUCGGCGAGGAUGCAGAGAUGGCCGGUGCGAUCAUGCAGGCAGCCGCUGCGAGCGCCGCGGCCUCCGCGGCCGUGUUCUCAGCUGCCGCAUCAAUGUCGUACUCGGCAUCCUGUUGCAAGAAGAUGGCCAUAUUUGUUCCCGUGUUCGCCACCAGGAAGGCCGCCGCGCCGGAGACGGCAGAGGCGGCCAUGGAGAGACUGCAUGUGCUAGAGCGGUGCUUCGAUGAGUGCGAUGGCGCCUGCAAUAGGGUGUUCAGGAGCGUCGUGCAGACCAGGGUUUCACUUCUCAACGUCAUGACGCCCACGAUCUAG
This 840-nucleotide ribosomal RNA is filed under the name Triticum aestivum (bread wheat). RNAcentral describes it as "partial small subunit ribosomal RNA". Lineage: Eukaryota; Viridiplantae; Streptophyta; Magnoliopsida; Poales; Poaceae. The record is from RNAcentral.